GAUGAACGCUGGCGGCGUGCCUAAUACAUGCAAGUAGAACGCUGAAGGAAGGAGCUUGCUCUUUCCGGAUGAGUUGCGAACGGGUGAGUAACGCGUAGGUAACCUGCCUGGUAGCGGGGGAUAACUAUUGGAAACGAUAGCUAAUACCGCAUAACAGUAGAUGUUGCAUGAUAUCUACUUAAAAGGUGCAAUUGCACCACUACCAGAUGGACCUGCGUUGUAUUAGCUAGUUGGUGAGGUAACGGCUCACCAAGGCGACGAUACAUAGCCGACCUGGGAGGGUGAUCGGCCACACUGGGACUGAGACACGGCCCAGACUCCUACGGGAGGCAGCAGUAGGGAAUCUUCGGCAAUGGACGGAAGUCUGAACGAGCAACGCCGCGGGAGUGAAGAAGGUUUUCGGAUCGUAAAGCUCUGUUGUAAGAGAAGAACGAGUGUGAGAGUGGAAAGUUCACACUGUGACGGUAUCUUACCAGAAAGGGACGGCUAACUACGUG
This 497-nucleotide ribosomal RNA is filed under the name uncultured bacterium. RNAcentral's name for it is "partial 16S ribosomal RNA". It matches the Rfam family "Bacterial small subunit ribosomal RNA", at positions 28 to 507 of the family's 1533-position model. The record is from RNAcentral.